Molecule: ribosomal RNA, 245 nt
Filed under: uncultured bacterium
Lineage: Bacteria
Description: partial 16S ribosomal RNA
Rfam family: Bacterial small subunit ribosomal RNA
Source: RNAcentral
UACGGGGGGAACGAGCGUUGUUCGGAUUUACUGGGCGUAAAGGGCGUGCAGGCGGAUUUUCAAGUCGGAUGUGAAAACCUCGGGCUUAACCCGGGGCCGGCAUCUGAUACUGUUAAUCUUGAGUACGGGAGAGGAAAGUGGAAUUCCAGGUGUAGCGGUGACAUGCGUAGAUAUCUGGAAGAACACCGGUGGCGAAGGCGGCUUUCUGGACCGAUACUGACGCUGAGGCGCGAAAGCCAGGGGAG